UACGAAGGGGGCUAGCGUUGCUCGGAAUCACUGGGCGUAAAGGGCGCGUAGGCGGCGUUUUAAGUCAGGGGUGAAAUCCUGGAGCUCAACUCCAGAACUGCCUUUGAUACUGAGGAUCUUGAGUUCGGGAGAGGUGAGUGGAACUGCGAGUGUAGAGGUGAAAUUCGUAGAUAUUCGCAAGAACACCAGUGGCGAAGGCGGCUCACUGGCCCGAUACUGACGCUGAGGCACGAAAGCGUGGGGAGCAAACAGG
RNAcentral lists this ribosomal RNA (253 nucleotides) under uncultured bacterium. Its description in RNAcentral is "partial 16S ribosomal RNA". It matches the Rfam family "Bacterial small subunit ribosomal RNA", at positions 524 to 776 of the family's 1533-position model. The record is from RNAcentral.